UGCUCGAUUACUUAUGAUUCCU
RNAcentral lists this non-coding RNA (22 nucleotides) under Arabidopsis thaliana (thale cress). Lineage: Eukaryota; Viridiplantae; Streptophyta; Magnoliopsida; Brassicales; Brassicaceae. The record is from RNAcentral.